This 145-nucleotide non-coding RNA is filed under the name Homo sapiens (human). Lineage: Eukaryota; Metazoa; Chordata; Mammalia; Primates; Hominidae. The record is from Rfam by way of RNAcentral.
GCUGGGUGCGGUGAGGCGCGCCUGUAAUCCCAGCUACUUGGGAGGCUGAGACAGAAGAAUCGCUUGAACCCAGGAGGCAGAGGUUGCAGUGAGCUAUCGCACCACUGCACUCCAGCCUGGGCAACACAGCAAGACUCAGUCUCAA